Molecule: transfer RNA, 75 nt
Filed under: Chitinophagaceae bacterium
Lineage: Bacteria; Pseudomonadati; Bacteroidota; Chitinophagia; Chitinophagales; Chitinophagaceae
Also listed under: 1 other name
Description: tRNA-OTHER
Rfam family: tRNA
About the family: Transfer RNA (tRNA) molecules are approximately 80 nucleotides in length. Their secondary structure includes four short double-helical elements and three loops (D, anti-codon, and T loops). Further hydrogen bonds mediate the characteristic L-shaped molecular structure. tRNAs have two regions of fundamental functional importance: the anti-codon, which is responsible for specific mRNA codon recognition, and the 3' end, to which the tRNAs corresponding amino acid is attached (by aminoacyl-tRNA synthetases). tRNAs cope with the degeneracy of the genetic code in two manners: having more than one tRNA (with a specific anti-codon) for a particular amino acid; and 'wobble' base-pairing, i.e. permitting non-standard base-pairing at the 3rd anti-codon position.
Source: RNAcentral
GGCUGCGUAGCUCAACUGAAUAGAGCAUCCCGACUUGGGUCGGGAAGGUUUCAGGUUUGAAUCCUGACGCAAUUA